UACGGGGGGGAGCAAGCGUUGUUCGGAUUUACUGGGCGUAAAGGGCGCGCAGGCGGCUCAUUUUGUCAGGCGUGAAAGCCCCGGGCUUAACCUGGGAACUGCGUUUGAUACGGAUGGGCUAGAGUUCGGGAGAGGAGAGUGGAAUUCCCAGUGUAGAGGUGAAAUUCGUAGAUAUUGGGAAGAACACCGGUGGCGAAGGCGGCUCUCUGGACCGAGACUGACGCUGAGGCGCGAAAGCGUGGGGAGCAAACAGGG
This 255-nucleotide ribosomal RNA is filed under the name uncultured bacterium. Its description in RNAcentral is "partial 16S ribosomal RNA". It matches the Rfam family "Bacterial small subunit ribosomal RNA", at positions 524 to 777 of the family's 1533-position model. The record is from RNAcentral.